UUUAUUAUUAAAUUAUUAUGUAAUUUAUGUAUAUAUUUAUUGUAUCAUAAUCUAUUUGAUUCUUUUUUUAGCUGACUCAAAAUCAUGCAUGAUGAUGCUGUUUGGGCCCCCUGGUUGUACAUAGGAAGUGGACUCCUCGAGAAGAUGAAAGGUCUGCUUUACAUCAUUUUCAAUGAAAGUACAAGUACUUUGAGAAGUAGGAGAAGCUAAGCAACAGAACAGAAUUCAUUUGGGUCAUUGAUGUCUAGAUUAUAUAGUGGAUUCAUAGAUUGUCAUAUUGAUUUAUGUGCAUAUGAGCACAGAGGAGCAGUAGUCAAUGAAUAAUUUUGUGAUGAGAGCUUGUUACCAAAUGAAAGGAAAGUACAGUAUUGACAAUGAUUGAUAUCACUGGUGAACAUGUAUGUCAUGUAGGUGUGAAUGUCCUGCAAAAAAGAACUGAUAUCAAAUUACCAUUCACAGUGAACAUGGUGAAGAAUAACCAAUACCAUGAAUACAGGACAUAGAAGACUACCUCACAAAUAUGGGAAUUUUACAAAAAAUACAACAUUUAAAUUUACAAAGAAGACAUUUAUUUUGACAUUCAUGGACUUUGAAAGUAAAGAAAUUAGAAUGUGAAUAAAAAUCCUUGGAAAUAAAAUUUUGAACUUUGAAGAAGAUUGAAGAUUAUGUUUGUUCUAAGAAAGUUUUAAGAAAACAGAUACAUUCAAAACUGUAAAAAGGAAACAAUACAAUAUUCACAAUUACUCUUGAGAUCAAUUACUCUUGAUAUAUAAUUAAAAGAUCAUAUAAAAGUAAAGAAAUUUGGUUGAAUUGCCAAUGAGAAAAAUAUCCACCAGAGUUCAAAUGAUGUGAUAGUGAGCAAUUAUAGGUCACCAUAUGUCCUCCAACAAUGAAAAAAACCCAACUAUAUAGUGUGCUAUGAAAAGGUUUGGAUAUGACAAAUAGAGAAAACUAAGAGCCUUAUUUUAACAAGUUAAUAUAUGAAAGCAAAAUAUGAACCAAAGACAAGCACUGAAAUACUUAUGAUUAUUGUUGAUUUACUCUUGAAUAUUCAAGUAGAAUGUUUAAAAAGAUUUUAAAUCAGAGUUAUCAUCAAUAUUCAACUUGUUAAACAACAAGUCACUGUAUGACAGAAAAUUCUAUGCCAAAAACCUUGAAUGUAUUGCAUCAGAAACAAAUUUUAGAUAGAACACUAGGAGACUAUAUAAGGAAAUGCAGAUAAAAAGUAUCAUCACCUUAAAAUAAAGUAUAGCAUUUUGUCAUUGACAGUUCCAUCAAAAGUUUCAGCAAUAUAACUGUUACAUAAAAAUCAAACCAUAAAGGUAUUUUUUUUCAAAAUAUCUCUAUAUAAUAAUAUGCAUAAUAUUAAUAGACGUUAUACGUCUGUGGUACAAAAAAUCCGUAUUACGGACGUGGUACUAAACAUCCGUAUUACGGACGUAGCAUUAUAAAUCCGUAUUACGGACGUUUAACGGAUGUUUUACGGUUUGAUACGGACGUAUUAUGGAUGGGAAGCAACGGACGUUUUACGUCCGUGGUACUAUUCGUCCGUAGGUUUUCCGUAUAAUACGGACGUAUUACGGAUUUUUUACGGACGUAAUACGUCCGUAGCUAUUUUACCU
Molecule: long non-coding RNA, 1622 nt
Organism: Mytilus californianus (California mussel)
Lineage: Eukaryota; Metazoa; Mollusca; Bivalvia; Mytilida; Mytilidae
Exons: 4
Source: RefSeq, a predicted model, not a curated record